Non-coding RNA from Triticum aestivum (bread wheat), 125 nucleotides. NCBI's taxonomy places the organism in Eukaryota, Viridiplantae, Streptophyta, Magnoliopsida, Poales, Poaceae. The record is from Rfam.
UAAAUACUCCCUCCGUUCAGAAAUACUUAUCGGAGGAAUGAGAUAAAAAUGGAUAUAUCUAGAAUUAAAAUACGUCAAGAUACAUCCAUGCUCCGACAAAUAUUUUCGGACGGAGGGAGUAUAGU